AUUGAACGCUGGCGGCAUGCUUUACACAUGCAAGUCGAACGGCAGCGCGGGCUUCGGCCUGGCGUCGCGUGGCGAACGGGUGAGUAAUGCAUCGGAACGUGCCCAGUAGUGGGGGAUAGCCCGGCGAAAGCCGGAUUAAUACCGCACACGACCUGAGGGUGAAAGCGGGGGACCGAAAGACCUCGCGCUAUUUGAGCGGCCGAUGCCGGAUUAGCUAGUUGGUUGGGUAAAUGCUUACCAAAGCGACGAUCCGUAGCUGAUCUGAGAGGGCGACCAGCCACACUGGGACUGAGACACGGCCAAGAAUCCUACGGGAGGCAGCAGUAGGGAAAGUUGGACAAUGGAGGCAAGCCUGAUCAAGAAACGGCGCGUGAGUGAGGAAGGCAUUCGGGUUGUAAAGCGCUUUUGUUCGGGAAGAAAGACUCUGGGAUAAAAUCGCGGGGUGAUGACGGUACCGAACGAAAAAGCUACGGCUAACUACGUG
RNAcentral lists this ribosomal RNA (484 nucleotides) under uncultured bacterium. RNAcentral describes it as "partial 16S ribosomal RNA". It matches the Rfam family "Bacterial small subunit ribosomal RNA", at positions 29 to 507 of the family's 1533-position model. The record is from RNAcentral.